Molecule: ribosomal RNA, 245 nt
Filed under: uncultured bacterium
Lineage: Bacteria
Description: partial 16S ribosomal RNA
Rfam family: Bacterial small subunit ribosomal RNA
Source: RNAcentral
UACGUAGGGGGCAAGCGUUGUUCGGAAUCACUGGGCGUAAAGGGAGUGUAGGCGGGAAGGUAAGUUAGAAGUUAAAUGUACGGGCUCAACCCGUAAUCUGCUUUUAAUACUGCUUUUCUUGAGUAUGGAAGAGGGAGAUGGAAUUCCAGGUGUAGCGGUGGAAUGCGGAGAUAUCUGGAAGAACACCAGCUGCGAAGGCGGUCUCCUGGUCCAAUACUGACGCUGAGGCUCGAAAGCUAGGGGAG